Molecule: transfer RNA, 85 nt
Filed under: Candidatus Kaiserbacteria bacterium
Lineage: Bacteria; Candidatus Kaiseribacteriota
Also listed under: 3 other names
Description: tRNA-Ser
Rfam family: tRNA
About the family: Transfer RNA (tRNA) molecules are approximately 80 nucleotides in length.
Source: RNAcentral
GGAGGCGUCGCAUAGUGGUCUAGUGCGCACGCUUGGAAAGCGUGUGUGCCGCAAGGCACCGAGAGUUCGAAUCUCUCCGCCUCCG